Molecule: transfer RNA, 70 nt
Filed under: Ovis aries (sheep)
Lineage: Eukaryota; Metazoa; Chordata; Mammalia; Artiodactyla; Bovidae
Rfam family: tRNA
About the family: Transfer RNA (tRNA) molecules are approximately 80 nucleotides in length.
Source: Rfam by way of RNAcentral
CCUGCUGGCUCAGGCAGUAGAGAAUCUGCCUGCCAUGCAGGAGACCCAGGUUUGAUCCCUGGGGGUAGGA